Molecule: long non-coding RNA, 1560 nt
Organism: Mus musculus (house mouse)
Lineage: Eukaryota; Metazoa; Chordata; Mammalia; Rodentia; Muridae
Product: predicted gene, 52509
Exons: 2
Source: RefSeq, a predicted model, not a curated record
GGGGAAGAAGCUCGGGGACUGUGUGUCAUAGCAUUUUCAACGGCCGUCCUCUACAAACAAGGCUGGUUUACAAGAGGAACACAUAAGAACUCCAGAGUGGAUAACAAUUCCAAGCCAAUUUACCUCUCACUGAGGUGUCACAGAAAUCAAAACAAACAAAAACAACAAAGAAAAAUCCAACAGGGCUGAGGGCUGAGUCAGAGUGUCUAUGAAAAUGCUGCAGUACAAGGGAAUAUGGCAAAUAAUCUUUAGGGACAAACUGCCUUGAGCUCAGUUUUCAGGGUCAACACAAAAAAGUAAGUGAUAUUUAGUCAAAAAUCAAACAAAACAAAAACAAAACAAAAAGCUCACUGAAGAUCUGAGUUUUUCCAGUUAUUAAUGGGAAUAAAACUGCUGUAAAAUAGAUCUAUAGCACACAUUAGGUGUCAAUAAACUCAUUUCACAUUGAGAACAUCUUCUCUAGAAGAGAAGACAUCUGCUCAGUGUGGACAAUAUGGCUGAUGGUAUUGAGAAGGAGAUUAAAAAAAAAAAUCCCAGAUAGUUUGACAAAUUCAUGUCUUUUCUUGCACUUCCAUAUACUUUAAAUACCUGACUGGUUUCUUAUCUUGCACUGGUGGCUAUACAUGACACCCAAAAUUUUUAAGACACUUACAUAGAAAGGACAGCAAACAAUAAUACUGUGUGGCUCUCCUAUGUCUCUUGUUUCCUUCUUUCCAUUAUUUCUUAGUGGGAUAGCUUCAGAGAGUAUGCAAAGGAACUCAAAGAAGAGAAGAAAACCGUGUUUGAGGAGCGUGACCCAGACUGACUGUUCAGUGUGGAUACUGGCUAUCUGACUGUAAGAAGAAUGGCAGCAGAGCUUGAGGGCAGAGGGAUGGACAGGAGGGAAGAUUUCCAUCCAACCCACGGUGAGAAUGCCCACCCUUCAGAACAUUUCCCUUAGCAUUUUCACUCAGUCAAAAUCUUACGGGAUCGUAGUCUGUACUUGAGUACUGGUGGCUUUUAGAUAGUAGGCACCUACUAUCUUCCUCUUAUGUCAUGAUUCAUGUUUAGUCAGGAAGAUUAUUUUUGCCAAUACCUCAUAAAAAAGCAAAGAAAAUCUUUCCACAUAUUUGAUAUUUUUUUUUUUAUUUUUCCUUAACUGUAUAAGAUUAUGGAAGUAGAGUACAAAACAGCUUCACAUUAAGCUAAUCUUAAAAUUUUGCUGAAAAGUGCUUUCUUUACAAGUAAGACAAUCAUAAUUCUUCACAAGAGGUGAGUUCAGUUGUACAUUAGCAUUAGAUAAUCCAUUGGGUGGAAAGGCUGCCUAGAGUAGACUGUUACCAGAAAUAGAUAACAUCCUUCACAGUGACACUUGCUCAUAAUGCCUUUCCUAACCUAUUGCUCUGCAGCCAGAAAACUGGAUGAAAUAGUUCUGCUAAGCAGCAAACAGAAGAAAAAGUCACGUUCAAGAUAGAAACAUGUGUUUAUAUCUCCCCAUUACCAACCAUCAUUCACCAGGAAACUCUUGAGUGACUUCUGAGAAUCCUUGUACUCCUGGUAAUUAUAAGAAAUGCAGACCUA